CGGCGAGUAGCGCAGCUUGGUAGCGUGGUAGCGCAACUGGUUUGGGACCAGUGGGUCGGAGGUUCGAAUCCUCUCUCGCCGACCA
This 85-nucleotide transfer RNA is filed under the name Klebsiella pneumoniae. RNAcentral's name for it is "tRNA-Pro". It matches the Rfam family "tRNA". From Rfam's summary of the family: Transfer RNA (tRNA) molecules are approximately 80 nucleotides in length. The record is from RNAcentral. Lineage: Bacteria; Pseudomonadati; Pseudomonadota; Gammaproteobacteria; Enterobacterales; Enterobacteriaceae.